Molecule: ribosomal RNA, 292 nt
Filed under: uncultured bacterium
Lineage: Bacteria
Description: partial 16S ribosomal RNA
Rfam family: Bacterial small subunit ribosomal RNA
Source: RNAcentral
GUGUCAGCAGCCGCGGUAACACGGGGGGAGCAAGCGUUGUUCGGAAUCACUGGGCGUAAAGGGAGUCUAGGCGGUCAGAUAAGUGGAAUGUGAAAUCCCUCGGCUUACCCGAGGACCUGCAUCCCAAACUGUCUGGCUUGAGUAUGGGAGAGGAUGAGGGAAUUCCUGGUGUAGCGGUGAAAUGCGUAGAUAUCAGGAGGAACACCGGUGGCGAAAGCGCUCAUCUGGCCCAAUACUGACGCUGAAGCUCGAAAGCUAGGGGAGCAAACGGGAUUAGAAACCCUCGUAGUCC